ACACAAUAUUUUUCAACCUCACAAAUUCAGGCUGCAAAAAUGCGGUCUUCACAUCCGGGUCUCACAGGAAGAGCAAUGGAUUGCCGAUACUAUUGUAACAUGUUACUAUGGGGCGGCCCCCUAGUGGUGGGAUUGAACCUAACGGACUGGCAUAAAGUUGGCUUGACGUUGGACGUUCGAUAUUCGCAGUUAUGCGCAAAUUAAGGGACCGUCUCUAAAGUUACAUAUUGGUAUACAUGUUUCUAACUUCAAUAGCAUUUGAAGGGAAUGACUUGGUCAUAAAACCAACUGUAAAGUGUUCAUCUAAGUUUCAGCUAUAACGCACAUUAUUCUGUUAUACACAAAAGAGAGACUUAUUUAUAGCAUUUGAAACAUCACAAAUGGAACACAUCUAACACAAAGGAGGACACAUCUAAACUAAAUAAUCCUAGUUGCUGGUUAUUUUUUUUUCUUCUUCAAAUUGACUUGAUUCCAGAGAAUCUGCCUACAUUUUUUCAUUUUGUCAUUUCAAAUAUGAGAAGAAAUUGUUUGAAGUGCUAUGAUGUAGUGAGAUUCUUGAUAUGCAGAUGUCAGACACAUCACUGACCUGUGAGCCCCUAGUGGCACUAGAGGUGGAAGUGCUGUGUUUUGUUACAGCUGCUUAUCCUUUCUCAGCUCUUUUUCUAUCUUCCUCCACCUCCUUAAGAGAGCAGAAUAACAACACAAUAUGCCCAAGAAAUAAAGGAUGAAGGAAACGGAAAAGUCAAAGUCCAGUCCAUUGGUCAUCCCCUGCUCUGCAGUAUGUCAUCUUACUGAAAAGUUGUAGUUCCAGGAGACCUGGUCUGAGUGUGUGCUCCUGCUUGACCAGAUGAGGAAGGACUUGGUGGUGUACAGGAGGAAUUUCAGCAAGGCUGUAUAAUCCAUCAAAGGGAUACUCUCCAGCUGAAACAGGAAAUAAUGUAAUACCUGGCCCUGUGUCAAAUUAUAAAUAUUCCAGCUCUACAACACUAAAAGAUGUUGCAUAUCAAAUCCAUUAGUUUUUGAUAGAGGUAAUUUCUGUAAGUUGUUCUGAAUAACAGUGUCUGCCA
Long non-coding RNA from Ictalurus furcatus (blue catfish), 1067 nucleotides. RefSeq lists it as uncharacterized. The record is from RefSeq and is a predicted model, not a curated record. The transcript has 3 exons. Lineage: Eukaryota; Metazoa; Chordata; Actinopteri; Siluriformes; Ictaluridae.